UACCGAGUGUAGGGUUCCUAGCGAGCCCAACCUCCCACCCGUGUUUACUGUACCUUAGUUGCUUCGGCGGGCCCGCCAUUCAUGGCCGCCGGGGGCUCUCAGCCCCGGGCCCGCGCCCGCCGGAGACACCACGAACUCUGUCUGAUCUAGUGAAGUCUGAGUUGAUUGUAUCGCAAUCAGUUAAAACUUUCAACAAUGGAUCUCUUGGUUCCGGCAUCGAUGAAGAACGCAGCGAAAUGCGAUAACUAGUGUGAAUUGCAGAAUUCCGUGAAUCAUCGAGUCUUUGAACGCACAUUGCGCCCCCUGGUAUUCCGGGGGGCAUGCCUGUCCGAGCGUCAUUGCUGCCCAUCAAGCACGGCUUGUGUGUUGGGUCGUCGUCCCCUCUCCGGGGGGGACGGGCCCCAAAGGCAGCGGCGGCACCGCGUCCGAUCCUCGAGCGUAUGGGGCUUUGUCACCCGCUCUGUAGGCCCGGCCGGCGCUUGCCGAACGCAAAUC
RNAcentral lists this ribosomal RNA (495 nucleotides) under fungal sp. JO42. Its description in RNAcentral is "eukaryotic LSU rRNA". The stretch from base 185 to 338 matches the Rfam family "5.8S ribosomal RNA". The record is from RNAcentral. Lineage: Eukaryota; Fungi.